Molecule: ribosomal RNA, 799 nt
Filed under: uncultured bacterium
Lineage: Bacteria
Description: bacterial SSU rRNA
Rfam family: Bacterial small subunit ribosomal RNA
Source: RNAcentral
AGAGUUUGAUCCUGGCUCAGAACGAACGCUGGCGGCGUGCCUAACACAUGCAAGUCGAACGUGAUCCGCCCUUCGGGGUGGUGAAAGUGGCGCACGGGUGAGUAACGCGUGGAUAAUCUGCCCGAGGAUUUGGGAUAACAUCUCGAAAGGGGUGCUAAUACCGAAUAAGCCCACGGGGUCUACGGAUCUUGCGGGAAAAGGGGGGGACCUUCGGGCCUCCUGUCCUUGGAUGAGUCUGCGUACCAUUAGCUAGUUGGUGGGGUAAUGGCCUACCAAGGCGACGAUGGUUAGCUGGUCUGAGAGGAUGAUCAGCCACACUGGAACUGAGACACGGUCCAGACUCCUACGGGAGGCAGCAGUGGGGAAUUUUGCGCAAUGGGGGAAACCCUGACGCAGCAACGCCGCGUGGGUGAUGAAGGCCUUCGGGUCGUAAAGCUCUGUCUGGAGGGAAGAAAUGAUUGGGAGCUAAUACCUCUUGAUCUUGACGGUACCUCUGAAGGAAGCACCGGCUAACUCCGUGCCAGCAGCCGCGGUAAUACGGAGGGUGCAAGCGUUGUUCGGAAUUAUUGGGCGUAAAGCGCGUGUAGGCGGUCUUUUAAGUCUGAUGUGAAAGCCCCGGGCUCAACCUGGGAAGUGCAUUGGAAACUGGGAGGCUUGAGUACGGGAGAGGAGAGUGGAAUUCCUAGUGUAGGAGUGAAAUCCGUAGAUAUUAGGAGGAACACCGGUGGCGAAGCGGCUCUCUGGACCGAUACUGACGCUGAGACGCGAAAGCGUGGGUAGCAAACAGGAUUAGAUACCC